AUUGAACGCUGGCGGCAGGCUUAACACAUGCAAGUCGAGCGGGCGAGGUUGCUUCGGUAACUGAGCUAGCGGCGGACGGGUGAGUAAUGCUUAGGAAUCUGCCUAUUAGUGGGGGACAACAUUCCGAAAGGGAUGCUAAUACCGCAUAUGUCCUACGGGAGAAAGCAGGGGAUCAUUUGACCUUGCGCUAAUAGAUGAGCCUAAGUCGGAUUAGCUAGUUGGUGGGGUAAAGGCCUACCAAGGCGACGAUCUGGAGCGGGUCUGAGAGGAUGAUCCGCCACACUGGGACUGAGACACGGCCCAGACUCCUACGGGAGGCAGCAGUGGGGAAUAUUGGACAAUGGGGGGAACCCUGAUCCAGCCAUGCCGCGUGUGUGAAGAAGGCCUUUUGGUUGUAAAGCACUUUAAGCGAGGAGGAGGCUUACCUGGUUAAUACCUGGGAUAAGUGGACGUUACUCGCAGAAUAAGCACCGGCUAACUCUGUGCCAGCCGCCGCCGUAA
This 501-nucleotide ribosomal RNA is filed under the name uncultured bacterium. RNAcentral describes it as "partial 16S ribosomal RNA". It matches the Rfam family "Bacterial small subunit ribosomal RNA", at positions 30 to 523 of the family's 1533-position model. The record is from RNAcentral.